AAAAUUGGAAAGAUAAAUAGCUUAACUGGGUGCAGCCUCUCUAACUUGGCUCCCUACAUCUGUUUGCAGUUGGCUGUGCCUGGAAGGGGUCAGGAGUGCAGACAAAGCAGCAGGAAGCCCCUCAGGGCUUGUAGGGCAGAGAUGGGGCAGAGCUUUGAGUCCCAGCUCUGCUCCUGCCAUUGGUCUAAACCAGGACCCAGAGGAGAGAGGGAGAAGAUUGUGGGUUGUGCAGCUGCUGUUAGAUGUUUUCUAUGUCGUAAGACUCUGGAGGGAGGUGGAAACUGAACCCUCACCCACAAAGCCAGCACUGUGUGGAGUGGGAGAAGUUUAGGUGGUGGAGACUUGAGGUCUUAGUCCAAGCCCUGGAACCUUCAGCUUUGCAUAACCUGGGUGAGCUAAGAAAAGUUGGGCCACCUCCCAUCACUGUUAGGAUC
Molecule: long non-coding RNA, 434 nt
Filed under: Homo sapiens (human)
Lineage: Eukaryota; Metazoa; Chordata; Mammalia; Primates; Hominidae
Description: HSALNT0260384
Source: RNAcentral